CAGUCGCCGCAGGAAUACGAAGGGUGCAGGCGUUAUUCGGAAUUACUGGGCGUAAAGCGUGUGUAGGUGGUUGUUUAAGUCUGUCGUGAAAGCCCUGGGCUCAACCUGGGAAUUGCGAUGGAUACUGGGCGACUAGAGUGCGGUAGAGGAUAGUGGAAUUUCCGGUGUAGCAGUGAUAUGCGUAGAGAUCGGAAGGAACAUCUGUGGCGAAGGCGACUAUCUGGGCCAACACUGACACUGAGACACGAAAGCGUGGGGAGCAAACAGGAUUAGAUACCCCAGUAGUCCCUGUCUCUUAUAA
Molecule: ribosomal RNA, 301 nt
Filed under: uncultured bacterium
Lineage: Bacteria
Description: partial 16S ribosomal RNA
Rfam family: Bacterial small subunit ribosomal RNA
Source: RNAcentral